UGGGGAAUAUUGCACAAUGGAGGGAACUCUGAUGCAGCGACGCCGCGUGAACGAAGAAGGCUUUCGAGUCGUAAAGUUCUUUUAUAUGGGAAGAUAAUGACGGUACCAUAAGAAAAAGCCCCGGCUAACUACGUGCCAGCAGCCGCGGUAAUACGUAGGGGGCUAGCGUUGUCCGGAAACACUGGGCGUAAAGGGUUCGCAGGCGGAAAUGCAAGUCAGGUGUAAAAGGCAGUAGCUUAACUACUGUAAGCAUUUGAAACUGCAUAUCUUGAGAAGAGUAGAGGUAAGUGGAAUUUUUAGUGUAGCGGUGAAAUGCGUAGAUAUUAAAAAGAAUACCGGUGGCGAAGGCGACUUACUGGGCUCAUUCUGACGCUGAGGAACGAAAGCGUGGGUAGCAAACAGG
Molecule: ribosomal RNA, 403 nt
Filed under: Fusobacteriota bacterium
Lineage: Bacteria; Fusobacteriati; Fusobacteriota
Description: Fusobacteria bacterium partial 16S ribosomal RNA
Rfam family: Bacterial small subunit ribosomal RNA
Source: RNAcentral